AUAUUACUCUCUCUCGCGCCCUCGCCGGAAAAUCCCCACCAAUCUUCUCUUCCAUUUCUUUAAUUCUUCUUUUCCGUCUAACAGAUCUCAAUUAAUGGCCGGCAGAGGCAAAACCCUAGGAUCCGGAGCCGCCAAGAAGGCCACCUCCAGGAGUAGUAAAGCCGGGUUGCAGUUUCCCGUCGGUCGAAUUGCUCGUUUCCUCAAGGCCGGUAAGUACGCCGAGCGUGUCGGUGCGGGUGCUCCGGUCUAUCUUGCUGCUGUGCUUGAAUACCUCGCCGCUGAGGUUUUGGAACUCGCUGGAAACGCUGCUAGGGAUAACAAGAAGACGCGUAUUGUUCCUCGUCAUAUUCAGCUUGCUGUACGUAACGAUGAGGAGCUCAGCAAGCUUUUGGGUGAUGUGACUAUUGCUAACGGUGGUGUUAUGCCCAACAUUCACAAUCUGCUUCUGCCCAAGAAAACAGGGACUUCAUCGAAGAAUGCUGGUGGUGAUGAUGAACCCUAGAUUUGUUUGUAACAGAAACGAAUGAACUGAAUCAUUGAAAUGUUG
This 547-nucleotide unclassified non-coding RNA is filed under the name Hevea brasiliensis (rubber tree). Lineage: Eukaryota; Viridiplantae; Streptophyta; Magnoliopsida; Malpighiales; Euphorbiaceae. The record is from RNAcentral.